AUUGAACGCUGGCGGCAUGCCUUACACAUGCAAGUCGAACGGCAGCACGGGUGCUUGCACCUGGUGGCGAGUGGCGAACGGGUGAGUAAUACAUCGGAACGUACCUUAUCGUGGGGGAUAACGCAGCGAAAGCUGUGCUAAUACCGCAUAAGCCCUGAGGGGGGAAAGCGGGGGAUCGAAAGACCUCGCGCGAUUAGAGCGGCCGAUGACUGAUUAGCUUGUUGGUGGGGUAAAAGCCCACCAAGGCGACGAUCAGUAGCUGGUCUGAGAGGACGAUCAGCCACACUGGGACUGAGACACGGCCCAGACUCCUACGGGAGGCAGCAGUGGGGAAUUUUGGACAAUGGGGGCAACCCUGAUCCAGCAAUGCCGCGUGAGUGAAGAAGGCCUUCGGGUUGUAAAGCUCUUUUGUCAGGGAAGAAACACCGGCUCUAACACAGUCCGGGAAUGACGGUACCUGAAGAAUAAGCACCGGCUAACUACGUGCCAGCAGCCGCUGUAA
RNAcentral lists this ribosomal RNA (502 nucleotides) under uncultured bacterium. RNAcentral describes it as "partial 16S ribosomal RNA". It matches the Rfam family "Bacterial small subunit ribosomal RNA", at positions 29 to 523 of the family's 1533-position model. The record is from RNAcentral.